AGUCCUUUAGUUAAGUGGGAAAACGUUUGAUUUCAACGUCCAAAGGGUAUAAGGUUCGAGUCCUUUUGGUGGUA
Non-coding RNA from Meloidogyne enterolobii, 74 nucleotides. The record is from the annotation of a GenBank genome assembly. Lineage: Eukaryota; Metazoa; Nematoda; Chromadorea; Rhabditida; Meloidogynidae.